GUUUUGUUGUUGUUGUUAUUGUUUGAGACAGAGUCUUGAUCUGUCUCCCAGGUUGGAGUGCAGUGGCAAGAUCUCAGCUCGCUGCAACCUCCACCUCCUGGGUUCAAGCAAUUGUCCUGCCUCAGCCUCCUGAAUAGCUGGGAUUACAGGCGUGCGCCAGCACAUCUGGCUAAUUUUUUUGCAUUUUUAGUAGAGAUGGGGUUUCACCAUGUUAGCUAGGAUGGUCUCGAUCUCCUGAUCUCAUGAUCCUCCCGCCUCCGCCUCCCGAAGUGCUGGGAUUACAGGCAUGAGCCACGGCGCCGGGCGCAUCUGAGGUAUUUUUAAGAGCUGAAAAUUUUAUUCGUUUUCGUGAAAAUGGGGCCACAAAAGAAAAAUAACAGAGGCCCAGAUGUUGACCCUCUGGUGGAAAAUGCCAUGGCUAAUUGAACCUCUCUCUCUCAUGACUGAGCCUGGAAUCCAUGUGGCAGAAGAUGAACGGCUGUGAAAGAUGAUUUAGAAAACGUUCAGAAGUCCAGCAACUCCAAGACAGUCUCACUGUAUCUUCACUCCGUACAAGUCAUGACCAUUGACUCACCUCACGUGACAAUUAGAUUAAGUCCAUGAAGAGUGCCGCAUCCUACCCAUUUUUAAGAGUUGCCAAGAGCCAUCAUUGCAAGCCCUGGGUUAAUGACAGGAGCCCCAGGAGGGACGGCGCCAUGGGGACUCCACGGCCUUGGAGGUCAUGCUAAGGGACUUUGACUUGGUCCUUUGGGCAAUGGUAAGGGGACAUCAAACCUCUAAGCAUAAAAAAAAAGAUACAUUUUCAAUAAAAUUUUAAUUGUUUAUGUUAAAAAGAAUUUAGA
This is a long non-coding RNA of Aotus nancymaae (Ma's night monkey), 842 nucleotides long. The record is from Ensembl. NCBI's taxonomy places the organism in Eukaryota, Metazoa, Chordata, Mammalia, Primates, Aotidae.